Molecule: long non-coding RNA, 5754 nt
Organism: Cyprinus carpio carpio
Lineage: Eukaryota; Metazoa; Chordata; Actinopteri; Cypriniformes; Cyprinidae
Source: Ensembl
GUAUUACAGUUUUUUCUGAAUGCUUAAGCACUAAUCGUGAUUCUUGUAGCACAAUUUCUAAAACUAUUAAUACGUAUAGCAAAACCACUCACUGACUUUGCAAAACUAAAAGCACAAACACUGCUUUGCACUCAGUUUGCAAUUUUGUAACACACACUUUGCAAAACUGUAGGCACAAUUCACUGCACAACACUCUUUUUGCAGAACUUUAAACACAACUCACUGCUUACACUCAAUUACCAAAUUUCCAACACACUCCUUGCAAAAUUAUACACAUGUAUGGCUAUCAUUAACACUAUUUUGCCAACUGUCUGGCACACUUUCACAUGUGAAAACUGUUUUAGAUAAUUAGUUCACUUUGCAAUCAGCCUAAGCACUAUAAAUAAGCCACAGGUAAGCUGUCUGUGUGGAGUACAAUGGAAGGAGCAGUAAGAGUGAGAAGAGUGAGAAUCAGAGGAGGCAGAGGAGGCCGAGGGAGAGGACGUGGAGGUGAAGAAGUUGGAGGAAGAGGACGUGGAGGUGAAGAAGCGAGAGGGUUAGAGGAAGUUAGAGGAAGAGGACAAGGAGGAGCAAGAAGAGGACGAAGAGGGGAAAGAGGAAGGGUAAGAAGAGUAAGAAAUAGAAUAACUGAUGACAUCAGAGCUACAAUAGUGGACCAUGUCAUCAACCAUGGGAUGACCCUGAGGAAAGCUGGCCAACGGGUUCAGCCUAAUUUGAGCCGCUACACUGUGGCAAGCAUCAUUAGGACAUUUCGAAAUGAGAAUCGAAUUGCUAGACGUCCAGAUGUUGGGGGCAGAGGAAGAAUGUUCACUCCAGAGCAAGAGACCCAUAUAGUGAACAUGGUGAUUGCCAAUAAUGCAAUAAGACUGUGCGAAAUACAGCAGCGCAUAAUUGAUAAUGACACCAUCUUUCAAAAUAUACACAGUGUAAGCAUUUCUGCACUAAGUCAUGUACUUGCGCGCCACACAAUAAGAAUGAAGCAAAUUUACAGAGUUCCUUUCGAGAGAAACACAGAACGUGUAAAGCAACUGCGAUAUGACUAUGUGCAGAGAGUGAUGGAACUAGAAGCAGAUGCCAUGGGACAUGAGCUACUUUUUGUAGAUGAGGCCGGUUUUAACCUCAGUAAAACCAGGAGACGAGGCAGGAACAUUACUGGACACCGUGCCAUCAUCAAUGUCCCAGGACAACGUGGUGGUAUCAUAACCAUGUGUGCAGCUAUAAGCCAAAAUGGUGUUGUUCACCAUCAUGCAACCAUAGGCCCAUACAACACUGCACACAUUAUUGCAUUCCUGGACACCUUACAUGACAUGCUCACUGUUCAGAGACCAGAGCAUACCCGAUAUGUCAUCAUAUGGGACAAUGUUAGUUUCCAUAGGGCUGCUUUGGUCCGCAACUGGUUUACAGACCACCCAUCCUUCAUGGCACUCAACCUCCCUCCAUACUCUCCAUUCUUACAGUUUUUACCAAUUGCUUACACACAUUUUCAAAACUAAGUCUCCUUUUUUCAAAACUCUACACACAGUUCUCAAAACUGCACACACAAAAUGCAAAAUGCCUCACAUCUCCUUCAAAAUGCAACACUGCAUUCAAAAUGCCAUAAACACAUGUCAGAAUGAAGCAUUUGCAUCAAAUGGCAAACACUUCUUUCAUAAUAAUAAACUUUUGGAUAUACCAUGUAAACACUGCUGUUCUAAAUCUAAAGCUCUUUGGUCUUUCAUAAGCUUAUAUCUACAUUUCAAUACAAUGUUCUACAGUGGAAGUAAUCUGCUGAGAGGUGUAACAAGUACACCGGAAACGCCAAUUCAAUGUAGAAACAGAAAAUAUUUAUUAUGCCAAACAUUACUGUUGUAUACAUUAGCAUACAACAAAACUAUAAACAUGUUAACCAAAAGUAUAUUCUUUACAGUAGAAUACAGUAAAUUGUGCGUGGGGUCCCGGUCCAGGAAUUGGCAGGGGGGGCGGGGGUGUGCAGUCCCCAGUGCUAAGCUUCAUCUCUUCUCCGAGCUGGGUCUGGCCACAAUACUUCGUCCACAUCACAAGAUACAUUUUCUUUUGCCAAACAUCGAGGGAAGUAUCUCCUAGCAUGGCGUAUCCAACCUUGGACAGAGGCAACCUCUAUGUCCCCACAUGCGUCCUCCAUUGCCGGGAUUUACAUCCCGUGGUAACUAGGAUUUACACAAGCUCCAGUCUGGAUCCAGAACACCUGAGAAGAGAUGAUGCCAACCCCUCAGAGGACCUCAGAUGAUGCUAACCCAGAGACAACAUACAGAACUACCACAUUUUGCUCUAAGUUUGAUUGCAUAAUUGCUGUUAAUAGUGUUAAUCGUCUGUUUGUUUACGUCUUUUAUUGAUUUUUCUGAACAUUUCUGCCGUAUACACAUAAACUGACAGUCACCACUGAUAAGCUACUACUAAAUAUUGUAGAAACUUAAUUUUCUGUAAAGUUGCUUUGCAAUGAUUUUUAUCGUAAAAAGCGCUAUACAAAUAAACUUGAAUUGAACUGAACUGAAUUGGAGAAGCGGCAUGUGGGCAAAGGGUUGGUGAUCAUACACUUUCCAGUGCCAGGCUGAGAAGAAUUCCUCUAUGGGAUUUAGAAAAGGUGAAUAUGGGGGUAGGUACAAAACUACAAAUUGUGGAUGGGUGGCAAACCAGUUUUGGACCAGAACAGCCCGGUGAAAACUAACAUUGUCCAAUAUAACAACAAAUCUAGCAGGCGCCUGAUCUGGAUCAGGGAAAAGCAUUGUGUGAAUUGCAUCCAGAAAAGUGAGUAUAUGGGUGGUGUUGUAUGGACCCAGUGUGGCAUUGUGAUGGAGGACCCCGUUUUGAGUGAUGGCAGCACACAUGGUUAUAUUACCCCCAUGCUGUCCAGGGACAUUGGUAAUUGCCCUCUGUCCUAUUACAUUUCGUCCACGGCGCCUGGUUUUGGUGAGGUUGAAGCCAACCUCAUCCACAUAAGUAAAUUUGUGGUGAAUUACAUGGGCAUCCAUCUGCAAUACUCUCUGUAACAGACAAAAUUAUAUACAGAUGAGUAAAUAUGGUAUGUCUGAAGUACUGGAAGUAGUGUUGCAUACAUACCUCUACAAAGUCAUGUCGCAGAUUCUUGACUCAGAUUUUUUCUCAAAUGGCACCUUGUAAAGUUGUUUCAUCGUCACUUGGUGCCGUUGGAGGAUGCGUUGUAUGGUCGACAGGCUUACAGCAUUGAUGUUGUUGAAUAUGGUGUCAUUAUUCAAGAUAUGCUCUCCUAUCUCUCGAAUCCUUAUUGCAUUGUUGGCCAAAACCAUAUUUAUAAUUGCAGUCUCUUGUACAUCUGUAAACAAGCGUCCUCGUCCUUGAUGAUGUCUUUGCCUUCCCACUCUGUACAGAAUUCAAACACAGUAUGUGUUCAGCAUAGGAACUGUAAACCAUUUAAAAAAAAUGUAGUACAGCAUGAUAACCAACCUCAUUCAUUCAAUGCAGUGCAGUAAAUGGAUGGCUUAGAGUUACAAAUGUUUAUGCAAUACUAUGCAGUCAUACGUACUUUACAGUACAUUACUAUAAUGCUAAAAUAGUCAUUAGAUAGUUCUAUACCUGUUCUCAUUUCUGAAGGUUCGAAUUAUGGACACCACUGUAAAUCGACUCAAGCUGGGCUGGACUCUCAGUCCAGCCUCUCUCAUGGUCAAACCGUGGUUGAUUACAUGAUCAACAAGUGUUGCCCUAAUCUCAUCAGAGAUGGCUCUCCUUCCUUCUCUUAUUUGCCCUCGUCCUCUUCUUCCUCUUCCCCUUCCCCUUCCCCUUCCUCCUCCUCCUGGUAUUUGUCCUCGUUGACCCCUGCCUCUUCCUCCUACUCCUCUUGCUCUCUGUUGAUUGUUAGCAUCCAUUGUUCAAAACAGGUAAUCUGAUCUUUGACCUAUUUAUAGGCCUAUCUAUACUACUGUAAAGUAAAUCAGUGAUUGGUUAGUGAUCAGUUAAGCAAUUAGUGUUUGCACAUGUGAGGAGUGUGUCUGUGUGACCUGGUGAGUAAGUGUAGCAUUGUGUUUGGAAAAGGAAAGCAAGUCACUUCCUGAUAGAUCUUUGUGUUUUAGGUAGAGAAUUGUGUGUAGUGUUUUGAAAAAAAGGGUUUUAUGCAAUUGAAAACUGAGUCAAAGGCUGAGAAAUAGCUUAUGGUUUUGAAGAUUUGGCAUGUAGUUUUGCACUUUGAGUGAGAGGUUUCAAAAAUCGUGUGACAUGAAAAGAUUUUGUGUGUAAGCAGUUGGUAAAAACUGUAAAUCCCAUCGAGGAGUUCUUCUCUGCCUGGCGCUGGAAAGUGUACGACCAUCAUCCUCAUCAACAGGUAGCCCUUUUACAGGCAAUGGAGGAGGCAUGUGGAGAUAUUGACCAGGCAUCAUGUCAGGCCUGGAUAUGGCAUUCAAGGAGAUAUUUUCCCCGGUGCCUUGGACUGGAGGAUAUCGCAUGUGAUGUGGACGAAAUUUUGUCGCCGGACCCAGAAAGACGACAUGAUGUAGGCUGAUUGUCUUUUUAUUUUCUUUUUUUUUUUUGUGAAAUUACUAUUUUGUGUUCUGACUUUGUCUUGGUUUUGAUGAGUGUGAAUAAACACCAAUACUUGAAGUUUGGAUCCUUGUAUGUUUACAUGACACUAUGACAAAAGUAUGACCUCAAAUUGACAUCUGUACACAGAUAAAGCAAAAGCCAGAUGUGUUUUGUAUUCAUACCAUCAGUGUGUAGUUGGCACAUUGUGUGCUUAGUAGAUGAUGGCUUGUGUUUACUGUUUGAUACGAAAACACCAUUUUUACGAAGGUGUGAAGCGUUAAUCUAGCUGUGUUCGCUUUUGCAAGAGAACUACAAUGUUUUGAUAAUUGGGUGAAAGGUUUUCUUAUUUGUGUGUAGAGUUUUGCAAAAAUAGCCAAUAGUUACAAAAAAUGUGCUUAAGCAAUCAGAAAAAAACUGUAACAUUACAAUAAAAAGUAACAAAAUGAACGCCACCCUGCAUAAUUAAGUAAAAGUAUAUAUUUUAAUUAGAAAUGUACUCAAGUUAGUACAAGUACCCAUCUUACAAAUUUUCCAAAAAUUUAAUCAAGCAGGAGUAAAUGGACUGCCCAAUUUGAUAUACAAAUGGCUGUUAUAAUGCUCCAACAUCAGGCUCAGGUUCACCAAAUAUUAAAUAAGAUAAACCCAACAAAUCCAUCAUUUCCAGCAUAACGAAUCAACAAUCUGAAAAUCAAAGAAAGCAUUUGAUCAAGGUCGUAGUAUUUUACAUUACAUUUUCCAAUUUGCCACAGGCUAACCUUCACACCUUAUGCAUUAAAAAGCUGCUCAGACAGAUUCUCUCAGAUGUUCCGGAGCUUGUCAUGCCUCCUUUUAUUAAGCAUCUCUCCUUAGGGGUAGUCAAAAAGAAACUACUCCAAAACAACAACAACAACAACAACAAAAAACAUCUUUGCUUUUAUGCUGGUCAUGUGAUGUUGAUGUUUUUUCUAUUAGCUUUGGUUUCCCCCCCAGUGGCUUAUUUUCACAUUGUCAGAUUUUUGACUGUUGUUGUUAUGCUUUCCUGUACAGCAGCAGCCCAAAAGAUGUAUCAGGAGCUGACAAUCUCCCUUUGUUUAUGUUUAUAAUGAAAUGGCUGUCCUUGCAGGAUGCCUGUGUGUGAGAACUUUAUCAGUGCUCUGCAUGCUGAUUGGAACUAGCAGUGUUUGUGUUAUCAGGACAGACAUCCAGAUAAAGCAUUCAGCCAAUCACUUCAGAAACAUCUGGAGAUAACUGUCCUAUUGUUGAUUUUCG